This 253-nucleotide ribosomal RNA is filed under the name uncultured bacterium. RNAcentral describes it as "partial 16S ribosomal RNA". It matches the Rfam family "Bacterial small subunit ribosomal RNA", at positions 524 to 776 of the family's 1533-position model. The record is from RNAcentral.
UACGUAGGGGGCAAGCGUUGUCCGGAAUUAUUGGGCGUAAAGAGCGUGUAGGCGGUCCGGUAAGUCAGCUGUGAAAGUCAAGGGCUCAACCCUUGAAAGCCGGUUGAUACUGUCGGGCUAGAGUCCGGAAGAGGCGAGUGGAAUUCCCGGUGUAGCGGUGAAAUGCGCAGAUAUCGGGAGGAACAUCAAUGGCGAAGGCAGCUCGCUGGGACGGUACUGACGCUGAGACGCGAAAGCGUGGGGAGCGAACAGG